UACGAAGGGUGCAAGCGUUACUCGGAAUUACUGGGCGUAAAGCGUGCGCAGGCGGUUCGUUGUGUCGGCGGUGAAAGCCCCGGGCUUAACCUGGGAAUGGCCGUCGAAACUGGCGAACUGGAGUGUGGCAGAGGGGGGUGGAAUUCCGCGUGUAGCAGUGAAAUGCGUAGAGAUGCGGAGGAACACCGAUGGCGAAGGCAGCCCCCUGGGCUGACACUGACGCUCAGGCACGAAAGCGUGGGGAGCAAACAGG
This 253-nucleotide ribosomal RNA is filed under the name uncultured bacterium. Its description in RNAcentral is "partial 16S ribosomal RNA". It matches the Rfam family "Bacterial small subunit ribosomal RNA", at positions 524 to 776 of the family's 1533-position model. The record is from RNAcentral.